CUCUUCUUGGAUUAAUGGGAGGUAGGAUCUGCUCCAUGCGAAAAGUAAAUUGCCGCAGUAUCUUGACUGUGCUAAGGUAGCAAAAUAAUUUGGCUCUUUAUUGGAGUCUGGAAUGAAUGAUCUGACAAGGUCUAUUCUGUCUCACCCGUUAUAUUGGAAAUUGGAUUGUCUGUAAAAAUACAAACGUGAGAGAGAGGGACGAAAAGACCCUAUAGAUCUUUACUUUACUCUGCCUAGCAUACUUUGGAGACCUGGGUAGUUAAAGUUUACUUGGGAUAAGGCUAAAAACGAAUUUUGGUAGGAGUAAAAGACUGAUUAGUCGAAAAGAUGAUUUUAAAUAGAAGAUAAGUUACCUUAGGGAUAACAGGAUAAUUUCUUUGCUUAGAACUUAUAUUCAAAGAAGUUUAUUACCUCGAUGUUGAAUUAAGUUUUCUUCCGUUCGAAGAAGAACGGUGAGUCAGUCUGUUCGACUGUUAAAAACUU
Molecule: ribosomal RNA, 483 nt
Filed under: Guimaraesiella sp. IZGAS 24_J1364
Lineage: Eukaryota; Metazoa; Arthropoda; Insecta; Psocodea; Philopteridae
Description: partial large subunit ribosomal RNA
Rfam family: Bacterial large subunit ribosomal RNA
Source: RNAcentral